This 251-nucleotide ribosomal RNA is filed under the name uncultured bacterium. RNAcentral describes it as "partial 16S ribosomal RNA". It matches the Rfam family "Bacterial small subunit ribosomal RNA", at positions 524 to 774 of the family's 1533-position model. The record is from RNAcentral.
UACGUAGGGGGCGAGCGUUGUCCGGAAUCACUGGGCGUAAAGGGCGCGUAGGCGGUUUAAUAAGUCAGUGGUGAAAACUGAGGGCUCAACCCUCAGCCUGCCACUGAUACUGUUAGACUUGAGUAUGGAAGAGGAGAAUGGAAUUCCUAGUGUAGCGGUGAAAUGCGUAGAUAUUAGGAGGAACACCAGUGGCGAAGGCGAUUCUCUGGGCCAAGACUGACGCUGAGGCGCGAAAGCGUGGGGAGCAAACA